ACACCUCCCAGUCUGGAGAUGAGAUGACAUCUCUGUCAGAGUAUGUUUCUCGCAUGAAGGAGACACAGAAGUCCAUCUAUUACAUCACUGGUGAGAGCAAAGAGCAGGUGGCCAACUCAGCUUUUGUGGAGCGAGUGCGGCGGAAGUGGGGCUUCGAGGUGGUAUAUAUGACUGAGCCCAUUGAUGAAUACUACGUGCAGCAGCUAAAGGAGUUUGAUGGGAAGAGCCUGGUCUCAGUUACCAAGGAGGGUCUGGAGCUACCAGAGGAUGAGGAGGAGAAGAAGAAAAUGGAAGAGAGCAAGGCAAAGUUUGAGAACCUCUGCAAGCUCAUGAAAGAAAUCUUAGAUAAGAAGGUUGAGAAGGUGACAAUCUCCAAUAGGCUUGUGUCUUCACCCUGCUGCAUUGUGACCAGCACCUAUGGCUGGACAGCCAAUAUGGAGCGGAUCAUGAAAGCCCAGGCACUUCGGGACAACUCCACCAUGGGCUACAUGAUGGCCAAAAAGCACCUGGAGAUAAACCCUGACCAUCCUAUUGUGGAGACGCUGCGGCAGAAGGCUGAGGCAGACAAGAAUGACAAGGCGGUUAAGGACCUUGUGGUGCUGCUGUUUGAAACCGCCCUGCUCUCUUCUGGCUUUUCUCUUGAGGAUCCCCAGACCCACUCCAACCGCAUCUACUGCAUGAUCAAGUUAGGUCUAGGUAUCGAUGAAGAUGAAGUGGCAGCAGAGGAACCCAGUGCUGCAGUUCCUGAUGAGAUCCCUCCUCUUGAGGGUGAUGAGGAUGCAUCUCGCAUGGAAGAAGUAGAUUAGGAGUUUAUAGUUGGAAAACUGCCCUUGUAUAGCGUGCCCAUGACUCCCCCUGCAGCCUUGAGUGCCCCUGUCCCACCUGGCUCCCCCUGCUGAUGUCUGGUGUUUUUCUGACCUGUCCUUCGGUUGAAGGCAGGAAACAAGGGUGUUAAGCCCCCAUUCUUUCCCUACUCUGACAGCAGGUUUGGAUGUUGUGUAUUGUGGUUUUUUAUUUUGUUUGUUCAUUUUGUUCUGAAAUUAAAGUAUGCAAAAUAAAGAAUAUGCCGUUUUUAUACAAAAAAAAA
This is a non-coding RNA of Saimiri boliviensis boliviensis (Bolivian squirrel monkey), 1087 nucleotides long. The record is from RefSeq and is a predicted model, not a curated record. Lineage: Eukaryota; Metazoa; Chordata; Mammalia; Primates; Cebidae.